This 468-nucleotide ribosomal RNA is filed under the name uncultured bacterium. Its description in RNAcentral is "partial 16S ribosomal RNA". It matches the Rfam family "Bacterial small subunit ribosomal RNA", at positions 28 to 507 of the family's 1533-position model. The record is from RNAcentral.
GACGAACGCUGGCGGCGUGCUUAACACAUGCAAGUCGAACGGAAAGGCCCUGCUUUUGUGGGGUGCUCGAGUGGCGAACGGGGGAGUAACACGUGAGUAACCUGCCCUUGACUUUGGGAUAACUUCAGGAAACUGGGGCGAAUACCGGAGAGGAGCUCCUGCUGCAUGGGGGGGGUUGGAAAGUGUCGGCGGUUGGGGAUGGACUCGCGGCUUAUCAGCUUGAUGGUGGGGUAGUGGCGUACCAAGGCUUUGACGGGUAGCCGGCCUGAGAGGGUGACCGGCCACCUUGGGACUGAGAUACGUCCCAGUCUCCUACGGGCGGCAGCAGUGGGGAAUAUUGCACAAUGGGCGGAAGCCUGAUGCAGCAACGCCGCGUGCGGGAUGACGGCCUUCGGGUUGUAAACCGCUUUCGCCUGUGACGAAGCGUGCGUGACGGUAAUGGGUAAAGAAGCACCGGCUAACUACGUG